GCCGGGGUGGCGGAACUGGUAGACGCGCCGGAUUCAAAAUCCGGUUCUGGAAACAGAGUGAGAGUUCGAUUCUCUCUCCCGGCACCA
Molecule: transfer RNA, 87 nt
Filed under: Gammaproteobacteria bacterium
Lineage: Bacteria; Pseudomonadati; Pseudomonadota; Gammaproteobacteria
Also listed under: 1 other name
Description: tRNA-Leu
Rfam family: tRNA
About the family: Transfer RNA (tRNA) molecules are approximately 80 nucleotides in length.
Source: RNAcentral